This is a long non-coding RNA of Heterocephalus glaber (naked mole-rat), 3839 nucleotides long. RefSeq lists it as uncharacterized. The record is from RefSeq and is a predicted model, not a curated record. Lineage: Eukaryota; Metazoa; Chordata; Mammalia; Rodentia; Bathyergidae.
GCCGGCCCGCCGCCUUCCAGCCUUCCAGCCGCUCCAGCUGGCCCUGCUGCCGGUGUCCAGUGGCUGAAGGGAUUCUCUGAAACGUUUUGACUACACCCAGGUUUUACCUUCAAUGAAGUAAGGGAGGCCCAGGGAAAUUAGGGUUUCCCCAGAGUUACCAUGUUCCUCAUGAGUGCUGCUUGCUAAGCAUCCUGCUCUCUGUCUUCCAGGCCCCUGGCAGGAUCACACUCCUGCCACUCUGUGGUUGGGCAGAGCCACACGACUGGCUCUGGCCAAUGAGUUCUGAGCAGAAAUUGUGUGUGUCUUUUCCAAACUGGAGCAUUUAAAUGACACCAUGAGACCCUCCAGAAGUCUCCCUUCCCCGUGUCAGGGCAACCAACAAGUUAGUGAUAGCGGCUGCUCCAUCAGCUUGAGUCCCAGGGCUGGGGUUGGAGCAAAGGCCCCUGUGGACUCAGAAUGUACAUUUGAAAUGAACAAGGAGUAGACACUUGGGUUGAAGACAUCACACUUUUUAGGCUAGGCAAAAACCAAAGUGUUUUUCUUAUUCUCACAAACCACUCGCCACAAUACUUCUGACAUCUGGAGGAGAGUUUUCCCCAAACCUUCGAUUCAGUUAUUUUCCAUACUGACACUGUGCACACGGAGGCAGCGUCAGCUCUCACACGGGGAGGGAUCAGUCCCAGACUGCCCCCUACUUCAGUGCCAAGCACAAGGCCCAGGUUGUUUCACCUGUCUUCUGACUGAGGGUCUAAAUGGAGGUUCCCACGGCACCCUCUCAAAUUUGAAGAACUUGUUAGAAUGGCUCUCAGAACUCAGGGAAACAUUUUAUCCACACUAACCCACUUAUUAUAGAGGAUAUUACAAAGGGUAUGAUGAACAGCCAGAUCCAAGAGGUGUACAGGUCAGGGCACAUGGGAGGGGACAGAGGGGUCCCGUGUCCAAUCCAGGCAUGCCGUCCUCCAGAACUGCUGUGUCUUGCUAUCCGGAAGCUCUCUGAACCCUAUCCUUGUGGGUUUCACGGGGGCUUCAUUACAGCCAUGAUUGAUCGUUUCAUUGGCACUGGUGAUCAACUCCAUCUUCAAACUCCUCCUCUCCCAGAGGUUGAGAGGUAAAGCUGAAAGUCCCAACUGUCUGCGCCUGCAUGAGUCUUUCUGGUGACCAGUACCAGAUCCAGACGCCAUUAGUCAUCUCACUAGCAUAUAAAAGACAUUUACCACUCCAAAGAUUCCAGGGGCUUUAGACGCUGUGUGCCAGAAAAUAGGAGGAAGAACAAAUAUGUAUUUCACAAUAUCACAAAGCCAUUAUCACAGCACUAUCACAGUAUUUCACAUUAUCACAGCAGGGCUCAGCCUAUCCUGAUACAGCCACCAAGUUGGAUUUUUUGCAGGGUGAGUGUACUAUGCUAGGCAUUUUCACUUGAUCUUCCUGAGUUCUCAAGGAUCUCCUUGGCUGGUGAUACCUCACCAUAAAAGGAGACCAGCCAUAGACGUUAGAUGGCCCUAUCUGAGCCCACUCUGCCACCAGAACCCCUGACCCCAAACAGUAGCUCUCCCAGGACCCUGCAGCCAUUCAGCUUAGACAGGGGCAGCAGGGAGCUCCCAAGGUGUGAGUCCUGUGUUCUCAAAUGGCUGUAGUUGCUGGCAUCUUCCUGCAGGCUUCUUAAGGAAACCAGACUCGUCACUCAGCUCAGCUCACAAGCAGGCCAGGUGAGCCACAGCUGAGGACAGGGCCACGGUCAUCCUCUCAUCUGUCUGUGUGUUCUACACCUGGUCACUCCAUCUGUUCUGCUCAAGGCAGGAAGAGGAAGGACAAUGAAAAAAAGGAAGAACCUGAAGUCUUUGCUACCUUCCAGAUGCCCUCAGGGUAAGACAAGGAAGUCUUGGACCUGAGUGUCCUGGUCCUCAGUCCCUGGUUGCUACUGAUCCCUGGGGAGGUGAGACCUGUCACCUCCUUGGCUCUCAGUUUCCUUGGAGUUAAAAGAGUGAUUGACAUUGGGCCUACAUCACAGAGUUUGAAUUAAAUCAAAUAAGAAAUGUGAAAUGAUGUUGGAAAAAAACCAAACCAAUGUUCGAUGUGAAUGAAGCUUACAGAACACAGGAAUGGCAUGUCAUGGGGAUGCCCCUGAGUCACCAAAGAGAAGAGUACGAUAUGGUGUUCCCAUGGGUGCCAUUCCAUGAGCAUCUUCUUCCAGCAGAGACCCCCAACUGGGAGCCCUUCUUCUCCUCCCAGAGAGUGGAAAGGAACAGCCUGCCCAACACUACCAGAUGUCAGACAGACACUGUGAAGAUGAUCCUGAGAACAAAGAUGCAAGAGAAAAGUUGGUUCCAGGCUUAAUAACCAUCUGUGGGAAUCCUGAAGAAUGUACUGGAGACAUCAAACCUUGAUGAAAAUCCACUGACUCAAAAGCUUAAUGCUCAGCUGAGAGGAAGGAGACUCUGACGUUUGCCACAGAUGGGAGGACCUGGAGGGCUCUAGGUGAUCGAAACAACCCAGUAACAAAAGAACAAGGACUGUGUGAUUCUACCAGGAUAAGGGACCUGGAGGAGGCAAAGUCAUAGAGGAGAAAGUAGAAAGCUACCAAGGAUGGUGGCAAGGGAUGGGGAGCAAUUGUUUAACGGGUUCUGAAUUUCAGUUUGAGUUCAGUAUUUCAGUCACAAAAAUACUGGAAAUAAAUGGUGAUGCUUGUCCUAUGCUGUGAAUGUAUUUAAUCCCAUUGAAAUACUAACUCAAAAGAGGGUAAAAUGGUAAAAUCUUAUGUCUACUUUACUGAGAUACUAAAACUAGUUUGAAACCAAGAACCUUGAACUAAGAAUACAGCAGAUUUUAAGCCCAGGAGCGGAGGGAGAGCCAGGAGCACAGGGCUGGAGGUGGGGCAGGGGUUGCAGAAAAGGAGCACCUGAGUCCAAGCCAGUGCCACCUCCUGGUUAUGCUGCUUGGGGUUCCACCAGGAGGUGCUGUCAGAUGUCACAGUAGCAUCGUCAUAGUCACACAGAUUGAAGUCUAUGCCUGCAGAAGCACCAUCUUGAAACAUAUAUGGUUCUCAUGUCACAGUGUGAUGUCAUUCACCCCAACACAAAUCCUUCUGACUUCCUAGGGUCCUGGGUUUAAACAAAGGGGAGGUGGCCUUCAGCUAAAGAUCUGGGUGUGGGAACCUCAUUGUCUUAGUCCUUUUGAGCUGCUAUAACAAAGUACCAUAACCCAAAUAGUUUACAAACAACAGCAGUAUAUUUCUCACAGCUCUGGAGGCUGGAAGUCUGAGAUCAACAUGGCCAAGGUCUGGUGAGGGACCCCUUGGGGGUUGGAGGCCUCCCUCCCCUCAUAUGGUGGAAAAGGGCAACAGAGCUGUCUGGGGUUCCUUUAAUGGGGCACUGAUUCCAUUCAGAAGGCCUCCACCCUUAGGGCCUAAUCUCGUCUUCAAACCCCAACCAUUGAGUAGCAUCACACUGGAAGUCAGGAUGUCAGUAUAUGAAUUUUAGGGGGACACAAAUAUUUUGUUUAUAGCUAUUAAAAUUGAGAUUCUGCUGUCCCAAGUGAAUAAAAUCAAGAAAGCCCUAAUCCCAUCCCUGCUAAUAUUGUUCUGUCCAAAUGAGGCUUGGUGUAUCUGGUGUGUGACCCAUGACUGUUAUCAUUCCCUGAUGACAUUAUUAAGCAGCAUAUAGGAAGGUGGAGUGCAUCCACCACAGCUCUGUUCUGGAACAGAAGUGGUUGGAGGCUGAGAAGAGAGGGAAGUUCAGGGUAUGGACACAGCUCAUGGGGAGGAGACGGAGUCACAGGACCAGAGCUGGUCCCCUGAGAAAACAGGGUGCUCAACCACUAGCACCUGGGACCUCUUGGACCAG